CAUAAUUGAAGCAUAUUGAAAUUAAACAAUGAAUCAUUAUUUUUGUGCGUCUACGCACUGGGAAUCUAUAUAAAGUGCACUUAUAUUGAUCACUUAUAUUAAUCAUUUGUAUUAAUCAUUUAUUUGAAUAAACAAAUCAGGUAUCUCCUAUAAUCAAUCUGUUACCUUGUAUCUUAUCACAUUUUGGUAACAUUAAUUACAAUUACUAUAUGAUUUUUAUCAUGUAAUCUUUAUGUCAUGCAAUUAUCAGAAGUAUGUCAGUAUUUUCUGUAGUAUAGGUAUCCUCAUGACUAGCAGUAUAUAACUGUAUCAUUAUAUAUCACAUGUGAUCAUUAUUAUUUACUAUUAUAUCAUAUGCAUAUGUCUUAUACCUUAUACGUGCAUCUGUAUUUGUGUACUCCAUGUAUUUUUUUUUUUACUUAUAAGUAUUUUCUAUAUCAGAUUUUUACAUAUAACCAGUUGUAUAUCAUUUUCUUAAACACUUUGAUGGUGGUAAUGUGUUUAUCACAUCUUUGCAUUUAUAUUUUUUAAAAAUCACACUGUUACAAGUCAAAUCCAAGUCAAACUUUCUGCAUACCUAUAAUCUAAUGUUUGAUUUUAUAUAGUGGACCAAGCAUUAUGUAAGUGAUUACACAUAAAAACGAAUGUAUUGUGACAUUCUAUAAGUUGCAACAUGUUGUUGAAUUAAUAUAUCAUAACUCCAGUGUUCCUGUAGGAUCUUGCAGUAUUGGAAAACAUAAGUUAGUGAAUAGCUGACAUUGCCUUGACGUUGCUCUGACUACGCUUUGUAUACCAUCUUAGUUUGUAUACACCUGGAUCAUCAGUUUCAAUUUUAAAAAGGUAACCCCAACCGAUGCCCCACUGGCAAAAUACAUGUUGUCGUUCCCAUUACAGUCUGUGCCUAUGUGACAGACCUAGAUUCGUACGUUCAUUUGUGCUUAUAACAUUUGAGCAAUGUAUUGCUCACCUAUGAUCUUGUAAACCAAAUUGUAUAUCAGAUUUCUAUCACACCUCUCCGCUGGAAGAGCUAUCCAAAUCUUCCUGUAGAUAUCAUUGUGAUGUAAGCUUGUUAAAUGUAACUUGUUAUUUACAACUGACACUUGCUGAUAUCAUCACAGUUCAAACAAUUGCAAGGCGACUCCCUUAUACGUAUUUGCCCAGUGCAAAUGGUUUAGCUGUGAGGACUGUUAUAACGAUGACUGAAAUUUUGCGAAUGAUGAGUAAAUGCGGCAAUGACUGAUAUGUAUGUAGGAUGUGCAGUGUGCAUCUAUAACGCCACACUGCAGAAGAGUAUAGGUAUGUCUCCAUGUAAAUAUGUGUUAAAUUUUGAAAGGAUUAAUAGGUCUGUCAGAGAGUGAUUGGGAUUUGUGGAAGAAAGCGAAUGAAAGGUUUGAAAGUUUUAAGAUUGGUGAUAGAGUGUUGAAAGAGGUGGUUGAGAUAGGAAGAAUAAAUUUGAAUAAGGUAAGGGAGAAAUCUGAAGGGCCUUUUGAGAUUUUGGAAGCGGGACCAAGUGGAUUGAGUUAUGUUUUGGGGAAAUUGCGAGUAGGUGGAGGGAUAGAUGAAGGUACAGUGCACCAUAAAUGGAGGGACAUGCCACAACAUGUUCGGGAGAAUGUGAUGAGUGAAUGGUUAAGGGUGAAUAAGUAUGAGCCGAGUGUUGGUGAACAAAUUGGUCUGGGAGAUCAACAAUUUAGUGUUGGUUGAGUAUGGAAGAGAGCAGAAGAAUGUACAGUAAGGGAAUGGAAGGAUAGAAGUGUGAAUGGCAAGAUAAGGGUGUUAGUAUUAGGGUGCAAACGGUUGAUAAAGAGUGUAAUACGGAUGACUUUGAAGGAAUGAAUGUUACUUAUAGUGUAUGUGGGUUUGAAUUAAAAGGGAUAAGUGAGACUUCAGUGGGAAGGAAACCGAGUAGUAAGGAGGAAGUUGAUAGUAUGGAUAAAUCUUUGCAAAAGCUUGACAGAAGUUUGGAUGAACUGAGUGGUUUGGUAGCAGAAAUAAGGGAGAUAUUGGGACCAGAGCUCGAAGAUGUUGAUGAAGUAGUGAAUGAGAUUUGGGAGGAUAGUAGUGAGGGAGAUAAUGGGAAUUAGAAUGAAAGUGGUUUAGAAGAAGUGAAUGGCGAUGUAACUGAGAUAGUGUAUGAGGGUCCUCAAACAAGAUCCAAGGGGGCCUGCAUCCAUGCGUCUUUUGGGUGUUGCGGAAAGCAAUUUAGUGUGGGUGUUGUGAUGAGACGUUGUCAAAUGUAACGGGGAGGUAAUAUGGAGGAGUGAUAAUGGUAGUUACAUUUGACAGCAUCUUCGAGGGUUGCGUGAGAGAGAGAGAGAGAGAGAGAAAGUGUGUCGUUGUUGGGUUGAGAGUUGAAAUGUUUUCUUAUGUUUGAUAUGUCAUGUUUCAGGUUUAUGAAGUGAGUGAGCGAGCGAUCAAGAGAGAGGAGUGGUUUGAUGGUGGGUGUAAGCAUCUGUUGGAGCAGUCGCUGAAGGAGUCUAUGGCGAGAGUCUUGUUACAGAGAGUCAUAAGGAGUCAGUAAGUCGGAAAAGAUGGUCAGUCAGAAGUAGCCAGUUGUAUUGGGUGUUUUCUUGAUUGAUAUUGAUAUUGUAUGGUUGUUGUGCAUGUGUCUGUCUGGUGAUAGUUGAGCUGAAGAGGUUUGUUGUACUUGAUUUUGCAUUUUGAUGGUUGUGUGAGUUGUCUGUUGGAGACAGUGUUGGUGGUUGUGGUUUGUUGUGCUGGUUUGAGUUGUCGUAUGAUUUGUCGUAUUGUUUUUGAGUUGUUGGUAUUUGUUUGCGUAGUGAUUGGGGCAUUGUUUCUUGAGUUGUUGUAUGGUUUUGUUGCUUGUCUGUCAUGGGUAGUGAAAUUCAGCGGUUGUUGUGUCUCGACGACUUUAUCCAGUGGACGGCACAGUGUCUAGCACUGAGUAUCUCGAGUGUAAGGUGAGUACAUGUGUUUGUGUUUUGUGUGUUCUGUAUUUUGGCAAACCAAUUGUUAUGUGUGUAGUUAGUAACAUGAAGAGGAAAGUGUGGCAGAGGGGAAAGUUUGUCAGUCGGAACGGUCAAAGUGGGGGAGAUCUUGUUGCUUCAUUUGUGAUCACCCACAAUGUUAACUAAACCUCCAAUCCUUAAGAUUCCUGAUCCUAAUAGAAUUUUUUGUUUAAGGACCUAUGCAUCUUCUACUGGACUGGGAGUUGUUCUUUUCCGUAGGUACUAUGAUGGUUACCAGGAUGAGGAUAUGCAAGAUUUGAAUGGAUUGGAAACAACACUGGGUCAUGAGAAAGACGGUGCUUACACUGUGUGAAUUUCCUGUGAGCGGGGGAUUUUUGGAUAAUUUGAGUUGUAGCAUAGCAGAAAGAAAUGAGGGUAUGGAAGACAUGAUAAAAGCCAUGUCACGUACUAGUGAGAUUGGAGCGGACAUAAAUCUCCAGAGUUUGAAUAAGGGUGGUGUGAAUGGUUCGGAACCAAGACAGGGUGAGUCUAGUGCGAUUGGAGUAGAAGUGAAUGUGAGGCCAUGGACCCAAAGUUAAGGUCCAGUUCCAGAGUAUGAAUGGUUGUUGAGAAGGAGAUUUAAAAAAAGAAAAGGAAAUGAAAUUUUGUUUAUUUUAGUAAGGGGGAGUGUGGUGGUAGUAUGGAAAAUUGGAUUUGUGAGAAGAAGUAGUGUUUUUGGAACCAUUAUGUUGUUCAUAUGUGUUUUUUAAUUUUUUUUAUUAUAUUUGUGUGUUUUAACGACUGUGUUUUGCUAGCGAGUAUGUGAUUAUCUAAUUUUUUUUUUUUUACUUUCAGUUUGCUUGAGUGUGUAAGGAUAGUGAUUGGGCUCCCCUUCACCUGAACUGUGAGAGGCUACAUCUGUGAUAGGAGAUUUACUUUGGCAACUAACUACCAAAGCAAUCAAACAGUUAGUGAGACCAAACACAUUUUCAAGUUCCACAGUGUGAAGUUUUUACAUAUAUGUCAGUUACUUAAGACAGUAUCUGUCCCAAAUGGGAGGGGGUUCGAGAAAUUCCUUUAAUAUCUGUAUGUUGAUUUUGUCGCAAAUGAGAUCUCAGAUUCUCGUUUGUAAUGAUUGAAGGGCCUUUGUGUAGAAAAGACUGCAUGAAGAGAUUCCAAAGUAAUUUCUGCCCUUAGCUUGCAUGCCAUAGCUGAACCAAAUUCCUUUGGUGUUUGCCCAGAUGAUGUGUCGACUUUUAUGAUGACCUUUUGAUUAUUCUGAUAUGAAGUGCUUUUCUAGGAAAAUGGUUGAUUCUGAUCUAAGAUUUUGUAUUAGUUGUUCGUUCCCACACGGUAUACAAACCAUCAUUCCUUUACAUUAGGAAUAUACUUAUGGCAAAGCUGGAUCACGGCUGCUAAGACUCGUGAACAAGGUGGUUAAGCAGUACCUACUCUCUGGUAGGGAGGGAGACCCGACUGCCUGGAUGUAAACAUUCCACUUUGCUUUUGGCCGUCAUGCAAUGCAGACAUGUUUUCAUGAGCUCUUUCCUGACUGUCGUUAAACUUGCUUUUCCUGGUGAUCUUUUAUUUUAUUAUUUCUAUACUAUAUUGAAUAAAGGCAGCCCCUGGUAAUUGGUUGGAGUUCUGUUCGGACGGCCUGAUGAUAAGCGAAAAUCGCCAAUAACCGAAAAUUGUUAAUAAUCAAAAAUCUGCAAUUCAUGACACUUAUGGUGCCAAUAACUGUUUAAUGGCGCCUCUGAUAGGUAUGUAUCAAUGCCAUAAAUAUUAUUGCCGCCGAUAACCAGAAAUCGGCACAUUAUGGACCUAAUUUUUGGCUCUAGACAAGCCCGAUAAAACCAGAUCACCGAUAACUGGAGACUGUUUGUACUAUGUUUGAUAUUUACUAAUAUACUAACCCAUGAUUUGUGAUAGCCUUGCAAUCCGCCUUCCCCCAGCAUGUGUGUCUUGGAUCUGGUAUCCAAGGGCAUAUUAUUUGGUCCCUAUCACAUUUUCACGCCCUUUGCUUUUAAGGGCAUGACGGUAUAUAUUUGUUAUAAUUAUUUUUGAGAUGGUAUUGCUGCUUGCUGUGUUGGAGAGUUUGCCAGGAGAUAAACUUUGGAGCUAAACUAUGGAACUUUCACCCUCAGUUUUUCUUGCAUGGUAUUCUUUCCUUAUGGCAUUUUCUUCUUUUGGAGGGAUAUCUCCUUUGCUCUCUUCACUUGCUUGUCAGGCAAGGAGAGGGGUUGGUCUUGGCAAUUGGGUGAUUUAAUCUCAGGGGACUCCUCUUGCUUCAUAGGGUAGUGCCCUUCGGAACGAGAGGAGUCUCCUUUUAAUAAUUUUCUUUUUUCUUCAGGUUGAUUGUAAGUAGUCGUAGAUGGUUAGAUAUCUCACAGUGUUGAUUAUCCUAACCUUCAUGAGUGUACCUGUGACACUCUGGUGUGCUGUGGCACUGCUUCUUGUGUGUAUCUAGUUCCCCUGCUGUGCAUUCUGUUAGAUUGUUACUGUUGCCCUGACAACCAGUCACUGCUCAGGCUCCAUUUGAACUAUUAUGUCGAUCGUCAGACAGGGAAUUGACUUUGAAAACAGUUUUCCUCCUGGCCUUGGCUUUCAUUAUUAUAGCUUGAAAUGCACCAGGAGUUUGGGCUCCAUAGUCUUCAACUUUGUCCCAGAAUUUGUGCCUAAGGUUCAAAAUCUUUCUGUUUCUAAUGAAAAAUUUGCCUCUUUUUCUAUUCCUUCCCUGAAGGAAUUUGUCGACAAAGAACCUGAAGAGUUAUUGCUUUGUCUCAUCAGAGCACUGCGUUGCUAUCUAGAAAGGAUUCAUCACCUAACACCUUGUUGUCAUAGACUUUUCGUUAGCACAAGCCGAGCCAAGAAGGAAGUGUCCAAGAACUCCAUUUCUUUGUUUGGUUUUGUGAGGUAAUUAGAGAAGCCUACUAAUCACUUUCAUGUUCUGUCACAAAUAAUGUACUGUGCAUGCAAGAGUACAUGACAUCAGAGGAAUAAGUUCCUCUCUGUCCUUUAAGAAGAAUUUGUCUGUUAGUAGGAUUUUGAAUGCUGGUUCCUGGGUUCAGCAGACUAUUUUCACUUCCUUUUACCUGAAGGGUAUUGCCCACAGGUCCUUGGACGCUUUUUCCUUUAGUCUGGUGGUGGCUGCCCAAUAAGUUGGGACUUUUUGUAUCAUGCCUAAGAUGAUUUUUUCCAUUCUCCAUUCCUACAGACAAUUGAAGAUUAGAUACAUCAUACACUGGAACUGGCUUGAUGCAGUGCAAGCUGGAGCUGGCCAUUUAAGUAAAAUCAAAGUGGAUAUUGGUAAUUGGCUACCAAUGGUCAGGGAGGAAUCCUGGCCAUGCAGUUGAUACACAUUCACUUUUCCUUUUGACCUCGUCUGAGACAGACAUGAAUGUCUGCUAUAUCUCUAGGUAUUUUUUUUCAAGAAACCAAACUUAUUAGCUUUGUGGCAGCAAGCUAAAGGUAAGAGGGUACACAUUAACAUUUUUCUGUGUUAAUGCUGCAAUUUACUUUUAUGACCAACUUUUUUUGCAUGGCUAAUAUUAGUUUACUUUGAUA
Long non-coding RNA from Macrobrachium nipponense, 6476 nucleotides. RefSeq lists it as uncharacterized. The transcript has 3 exons. The record is from RefSeq and is a predicted model, not a curated record. NCBI's taxonomy places the organism in Eukaryota, Metazoa, Arthropoda, Malacostraca, Decapoda, Palaemonidae.